GCCCGACUACCUCAUCGGUAGAGCGCCUCACUAGUACUCUCCUUUAAAUGGAAACCAGAUCAAAAUGAGGAGGCAACAGGUUCGAUUCCUGUGUUGGGCA
RNAcentral lists this transfer RNA (100 nucleotides) under Hypoxylon rubiginosum. RNAcentral's name for it is "tRNA-Thr". It matches the Rfam family "tRNA". Rfam says of the family: Transfer RNA (tRNA) molecules are approximately 80 nucleotides in length. Lineage: Eukaryota; Fungi; Ascomycota; Sordariomycetes; Xylariales; Hypoxylaceae. The record is from RNAcentral.